AUCCGGAGCCAAGGUCCGCUCGGUAUCUUAAAUAGUGAAGAUGGAGAAAUAGUCAAUAAUGAAGAGCAUGAAUAUGCAUCCAAAAAAAGGAAAAAGGACCAUUUUAGAAAUGACACAAAUACUCAAAAGGCAUGGCUAUUGCACCUUGGGAGAAGCCUUUAAUCGGUUAGACUUCUCAAGUGCAAUUCAAGAUAUCCGAAGGUUCAAUUAUGUGGUCAAACUGCAGGACAAGUUCGAGCAUCUUAAAAUGAUUCAACAGGAGGAGAUAAGGAAGCUCGAGGAAGAGAAAAAACAACUGGAAGGAGAAAUCAUAGAUUUUUAUAAAAUGAAAGCUGCCUCUGAAGCACUGCAGACUCAGCUGAGCACCGAUACAAAGAAAGACAAACAUCCUGAUCCAUAUGAAUUCCUCUUAUUAAGAAAAAUAAAGCAUCCAGGAUUCAAUGAAGAACUGACUAUCACCUUGUUAAUCAUUCAGAAACAUGUUGCAGGCUUAAGCCAUUUUUGAUAUAGAUACUGAAACAAUUACUUGCUAAGAGCAAACUUGAAGGUAUGGAUAAGGCCCUGAGUCAUCUUCCUGAGCUGAAUGAUAGUUAAGCUGAAUGUACGUAUAAAAUAUGAUUUUCUAACCACUUGCUCGCCAACAAGGAAAACUUUUAAGUAGAGCAGAACCUGAAUAGACAAGACAUUUCUUUCUUUUGGUAGAAAAUGAUUUACCAUCACUGUGUAGUUAAUUGUAGACUAGGUAAUUUUAACUUUGUGAUUUAUUGCCGGAGACAUUUUCUUCUGUACUGUAAAGUGUGUGUCAAAAAAAAAAUAGCGAUUUUGGAGGAUUAGGGGACUUUGAUAAAUUGCCUGCAAUUCUGGCAGUAUGAACUGCAUAUUAAUUUCUCUCUUUCAAGAACAUUUUUAUUAAU
RNAcentral lists this long non-coding RNA (914 nucleotides) under Homo sapiens (human). Its description in RNAcentral is "non-protein coding LINC00115:25". Lineage: Eukaryota; Metazoa; Chordata; Mammalia; Primates; Hominidae. The record is from RNAcentral.